UCUACCUGUAGGCAACUGCCAAGGUUGCCUUGUACCUAGGCAAGUGUUACACUGCUGGAAGAAAAGCAGCUAUUAGCUAGCGUGUAUUCUGAGCGCCAAAUUUGUGUUAACCAUGCCAGUAUAGCAGCAUAUU
Molecule: small nucleolar RNA, 133 nt
Filed under: Ochotona princeps (American pika)
Lineage: Eukaryota; Metazoa; Chordata; Mammalia; Lagomorpha; Ochotonidae
Description: Small nucleolar RNA SNORA74 (ENSOPRG00000022460.1)
Source: RNAcentral